AAUAGGAGAAUUGACAUAUCAGAUUUUUUCUCUUGAUUUUCAGCUUUUUUUCCUUAAAAAAUUCAAAUCAAACUAAAAAUGCUAAAAAUCAGGAGGAAAAAUCCAAUAUAUCAUUCUCCUAUU
Non-coding RNA from Gossypium raimondii (Peruvian cotton), 123 nucleotides. NCBI's taxonomy places the organism in Eukaryota, Viridiplantae, Streptophyta, Magnoliopsida, Malvales, Malvaceae. The record is from Rfam.